Molecule: ribosomal RNA, 476 nt
Filed under: uncultured bacterium
Lineage: Bacteria
Description: partial 16S ribosomal RNA
Rfam family: Bacterial small subunit ribosomal RNA
Source: RNAcentral
GACGAACGCUGGCGGCGUGCUUAACACAUGCAAGUCGAACGGUAAGGCCCUUCGGGGUACACGAGUGGCGAACGGGUGAGUAACACGUGGGUGAUCUGCCCUGCACUUCGGGAUAAGCCUGGGAAACUGGGUCUAAUACCGGAUAGGACCCUGGGAUGCAUGUCCUGGGGUGGAAAGCUUUUGCGGUGUGGGAUGGGCCCGCGGCCUAUCAGCUUGUUGGUGGGGGGAUGGCCUACCAAGGCGACGACGGGUAGCCGGCCUAAGAGGGUGACCGGCACACUGGGACUGAGAUACGGCCCAGACGCCUACGGGGGGCAGCAGUGGGGAAUAUUGCACAAUGGCGCAAGCCUGAUGCAGCGACGCCGCGUGAGGGAUGACGGCCUUCGGGUUGUAAACCUCUUUCAGCACCGACGAAGCGCAAGUGACGGUAGGUGCAGAAGAAGGACCGGCCAACUACGUGCCAGCCGCCGCGGUAA